This is a long non-coding RNA of Conger conger (European conger), 1047 nucleotides long. RefSeq lists it as uncharacterized. The record is from RefSeq and is a predicted model, not a curated record. The transcript has 3 exons. NCBI's taxonomy places the organism in Eukaryota, Metazoa, Chordata, Actinopteri, Anguilliformes, Congridae.
UUUCAAAGCGAUAUUAAACGUCAGAAGAAGAUGCGAUUUAGACUUAAACAUAGCUAUGUUGGAGUACAACUGUUCGUUUUUUCCUGAAAAAUAUUUUAUUUAAAUUCCAGUUCAGCAAUAGUACGUAUAAAUACAGCGUUAAUCCAGAUUUAUAAUGGUUAGUUUUUGCGCAGUUGUUGGUUGUUCCAAUCGAGCUGAUAGGGAAAGAGACAAGUCGUUCUUUCGUUUGCCAAAGACCAUUAGACACCAAGGAGAACAAACGCUGAGGUUUUCAGAGGAAAGAAGAGCUAAGUGGAUAUCCUGGAUAAGCAGGCAAGAUCUGACACCUAAAAAAAUGGAACAUAUAAGAAUUUGUUCGGAUCAUUUUGUCACUGGUCAACCAUCAAAGCUUUAUAUGAAAACCGAUAUUGACUGGGUACCAUCAAAGCUGCGUGGACAUCAGAAGAUUGACGUGAAAGGACUACAGGAGGGCAAUACGAGAAUUGGGGGGAGAAAAAGGAAAAUGCCUUUGUUACCACUCAAGGAUGAGAUUUUUGAGAUUGUGAUAAAGGAGGAAAAUGUAGAAGCGCCUUGUAGCGAGCAACAGUUUAUUGAGGUUUAUGAAGAUACAACGUUCAAGAAUGUUUCGGAUCAUUUUGUCUCUGGUCAACCAUCAAAGCUUUAUAUGAAAACCGAUAUUGACUGGCUACCAUCAAAGCUGCUUGGACAUCAGAAGAUUGACGUGAAAGGACUACAGGAGGGCAAUACGAGAAUUGGGGGGAGAAAAAGGAAAAUACCUUUGUUACCACUCAAGGAUGAGAUUUUUGAGAUUGUGAUAAAGGAGGAAAAUGUAGAAGCGCCUUGUAGCGAGCAACAGUUUAUUGAGGUUUAUGAAGAUACAACGUUCACGAAUGUGUCCUGUCAGACUGAAUUAACCUCCAGAGACAUUUCAAGUAUGGAGGACGAUUUGUCCCUUUAAGCAACGUUUAUGGAAUUACUGUAAGUGCACAUGAGGUAUUUCAUUUAAGCUAAUAUUUUUUUAAUAAAACUACAUUUGCUUUAAAAAAA